Apodemus sylvaticus (European woodmouse) is the source of this 1216-nucleotide long non-coding RNA. RefSeq lists it as uncharacterized. The transcript has 4 exons. Lineage: Eukaryota; Metazoa; Chordata; Mammalia; Rodentia; Muridae. The record is from RefSeq and is a predicted model, not a curated record.
CUGAACUUGCAGCGCGCGGUGUGGAAAGGGUGGCCUGGAGUGCGGGGCGGGCGACUCGCGCCUCCGCGCGCCCCUCCCUCUCUUCCUUCCCUGCGCGCCGGGCUCCCGGCUGCCCCCGCCCCCUCCUGCGCUCCCCCCCCUUUCCCUCCUGCGGCGGCUUCCGAUUGGCCGCCGGGCUCUGACGUCUGUGUUUCCAUGACGUGUCGGGCCGGGGAGGGCCGCGGGAGGGGGCGGCGGGGGAGGAGGGGGCGGCGACUCCGUCAGUCACCGCCGGUGCCUGGGCGCGCGGCCGGGCGGCUCCUGCAACGUGAGGAAGCCGGAGAGCUACGACUGCCGCAGCAGCGGGACGCCCUUCACCUAGGGUCCCCGCUCUAGUCGCCCCCGGGGGGGGGGGGGCGAAGCCCGGUCACCGGAUGGUAGAGCGGCUCGGCGCCCGCUCCCUAGCGGACCUGUCUCCUGUCCCGGACAGUGACGCACUCGCCCGACAGCCUAAGUGCCUUCCCUUUUGGGAAGAGAGCCCACUCGCCCUGUAGGCGCGCUGGCCCGGCCACCGACACCGGGGAUCCCCCGCUGCAGCGCCCAAACGGUGUCCUCUAGCCGGUGCAAGCAGGCCUCGCAAGGUCCACGCUUGAAGUCCUCGUGUUUCUCUUUUGGACUGCUUUUUCCCCCCCUACCUGUGGCGAGCUAGUGGGUGUUUAAUUCAUAAUACUUAAACCUUACCCUCUUCUUUCCCGAGGAGAAAGAAACGAAACGAAACGGAAAAAAAAAAAAAAAUCAUGCAGAGUACCGUGCAGGAUUUAGAUGGUAAAAGGGUUUCAUCACCAUGAUAAAACAGCAGCAUCAGUGGAGCGGAGCCAGCCAGAGCUUAGAAGACAAGCUGUGUGCUGCAGAGGGAGUAACCCAAGGCCUUCGGAGGGAGCCCAGAAGAUUUAAGGAACUAGCUACAUUUCGAGCUCCAUAAUAAUAUGGUAGGCAAGACAGACACGAGGAUCCUCGUCUGGUACGAAGAACAAAGAAAAGCAAUUCUAGUGUAACGUGGUCAGCAGUCGAGUCUCACCCUUGGAGAUUGUUUUUUCAAAGUCAAGUUGUCCCUGUUCCGGUGCUCCCUGUGAUCUGCUUCCUUCACAACCCAACUUCCGGUGUGCUUCUCAUUCGUAAAAACCAUAACCUCAUCAAGUUCACAAAGAUUAAAAUCAAAUUAAAAUUAAAAUUAAAA